UACGUAGGGGGCAAGCGUUGUCCGGAAUUAUUGGGCGUAAAGCGCGCGCAGGCGGCUUUGUAAGUCUGGUGUUUAAGCUCGGAGCUCAACUCCGAUUCGCACCGGAAACUGCAAGGCUUGAGUACAGAAGAGGAAAGUGGAAUUCCACGUGUAGCGGUGAAAUGCGUAGAUAUCGUAAGGAAGACCAGUGGCGAAGGCGGGUCUCUGGACAGUUCCUGACGCUGAGGCACGAAGGUCAGGGGAGCAAACGGG
RNAcentral lists this ribosomal RNA (252 nucleotides) under uncultured bacterium. RNAcentral describes it as "partial 16S ribosomal RNA". It matches the Rfam family "Bacterial small subunit ribosomal RNA", at positions 524 to 776 of the family's 1533-position model. The record is from RNAcentral.